CCUACGUGGGGCAGCAGUGGGGAAUAUUGCACAAUGGGCGAAAGCCUGACGCAGCGACGCCGCGUGAGGGAUGAAGGUCUUCGGAACGUAAACCUCUGUCAGCAGGGAAGAACGGUCACUGUGCUAAUCAGCAGUGAAUUGACGGGACCUGCAAAGGAAGCACCGACUAACUCCGUGCCAGCAGCCGCGGUAAUACGGAGGGUGCGAGCGUUAAUCGGAAUUACUGGGCGUAAAGCGCUCGUAGGCGGUAUGUCAAGUCAAGGGUGAAAUCCCCGCGCUCAACGUGGGAACUGCCUUUGAAACGGGCAAACUGGAGUGUGUGAGAGGAUAGUGGAAUUCCAGGUGUAGGAGUGAAAUCCGUAGAUAUCUGGAGGAACAUCAGUGGCGAAGGCGACUAUCUGGCACAUAACUGACGCUGAGGAGCGAAAGCGUGGGUAGCAAACAGGAUUAGAUACCCCUGUAGUC
RNAcentral lists this ribosomal RNA (465 nucleotides) under uncultured bacterium. RNAcentral describes it as "partial 16S ribosomal RNA". It matches the Rfam family "Bacterial small subunit ribosomal RNA", at positions 338 to 795 of the family's 1533-position model. The record is from RNAcentral.